RNAcentral lists this long non-coding RNA (529 nucleotides) under Nicotiana benthamiana. Its description in RNAcentral is "long non-coding RNA (NBEN_LNC026972)". The record is from RNAcentral. Lineage: Eukaryota; Viridiplantae; Streptophyta; Magnoliopsida; Solanales; Solanaceae.
AGUAACUUAAGGAAAUCAAGAUCAAUCAAGAAAAAAUCAUGAUUCUGCACUUUGACGUAUAAAUAGAAAAAAAUAAACAUGCAUAUCAGACAUGCAUGGUCAAACAUAUUGAAAAAAAGAAACAAACUAGAUGAAAACAAACAUUCAGAAGUGACAUGAAUAGGCUAAGGACUACACAAAGCAUGGUAAUCAACAAAGUCAAGUAGUCAUGGCUCACACAUAGAACUAGAGUGAAACCAACCUAACAGGUAAAGAAGAUCAACACACAGAAACAAGAAAGUCUUUAAACUCAUAGAAAUAAGUGAAGAGGAAUUUUAAGAAAUUAGGGUUGUAACAGAGCUGAGUUAAAAAGGUAAGAACUCAAAAUAUGUCAAGUUAAAUAACGGAAAUGAUCUAAACACAAAGACUCAGUCGAAGAAAGUAUACAAAAUAAACAAAGACAGUUCCAAACCUCAGAUAAAACAAAAAUACUUAGGGUUUUCAACACGAUGAACCAGGUAGAAGAAAAACAUAAACAAACUGUUUAAAC